RNAcentral lists this unclassified non-coding RNA (534 nucleotides) under Hevea brasiliensis (rubber tree). Lineage: Eukaryota; Viridiplantae; Streptophyta; Magnoliopsida; Malpighiales; Euphorbiaceae. The record is from RNAcentral.
AAGUUAUUGUUUCUUUUUUUUUUUCCUGUUCAUUCAGAUUUGUUCAAAUUUGUUAGAAAAUUUUAAUGAACAAUUGGUUCUAUAUUGUUUGAUUUGAUUGUUCAAAUCACUUGAUUACUGGGUUGCAUUGGAAUUGUUGGAAUUUUAUUUGCGUCUGAUUGAUUACUGGGUUGUACUGUUUUAGUGUUUUAUUGUUGAAAUUCCAUGAGUUCUGUGUGCGUGUGUGGGCGAGUGGGUGGGGGGGGCGCGGCACGGACUGGGGCCUGAAAUCAUGGGAUAGGCGCUGGAAGAACUGAUGAAUCAAUCGAACUGAACCAGAAUAAAUCGGUUCUGUUUGAUUGGGUUGCUUUUAAAGCACAAUUCAUUGGGUUGCUUUUAAAGCACAAUUCGGUUUUCCCCGCAUAUUCCAUGCUAUAUUAAAUUUCCGCUCUUUGUUUUUUCCCCAAUUGUUUUCCCAGGACUCGUGAUUCCCGUCUCUUUUUACACCCAUUCUCUGCAACAUGGCUUCCAUCCAUUGUUUUGGGUGAGUUGUGA